Molecule: long non-coding RNA, 314 nt
Organism: Sceloporus undulatus (fence lizard)
Lineage: Eukaryota; Metazoa; Chordata; Lepidosauria; Squamata; Phrynosomatidae
Exons: 3
Source: RefSeq, a predicted model, not a curated record
GGGGUAGCCUAGAGAAAGCAAAGAAUGCAUGGCAUCGCAUCCUUUUCUGGCAUCCCGAGCAGUGCAUUAAUACCUUGAGUUGUGUGAACCAGCAAGAUCCAGUUCUUUCUGAAUUACUUCCAUGGUCCCCUUCUCUCAAUGGCCUCUCCAAACCUUUUGGAAACUUGGGAGACAGGAGGUGAGUCCUUUUUACAAGGAAAUUGGAUUUGUUACUAUACAACUCGCACAAAGCAGUGACAAGACCAAGGACAUAUCAUAUCAAAAUGGCUGAUUUCCCACAUCCCCUCAUAUUUUAGCCAUAAACCACCAUGGGC